Molecule: transfer RNA, 85 nt
Filed under: Flavobacterium covae
Lineage: Bacteria; Pseudomonadati; Bacteroidota; Flavobacteriia; Flavobacteriales; Flavobacteriaceae
Description: tRNA-Phe
Rfam family: tRNA
About the family: Transfer RNA (tRNA) molecules are approximately 80 nucleotides in length. Their secondary structure includes four short double-helical elements and three loops (D, anti-codon, and T loops).
Source: RNAcentral
GGAGAUGGCAGAGUGGUUUAUUGCGCUUGUCUGAAACACAAGUGAACGUUAAUUCUUUCCACGGGUUCGAAUCCCGUUCUCUCCG